Molecule: ribosomal RNA, 407 nt
Filed under: uncultured bacterium
Lineage: Bacteria
Description: bacterial SSU rRNA
Rfam family: Bacterial small subunit ribosomal RNA
Source: RNAcentral
UGGGGAAUAUUGCACAAUGGGCGGAAGCCUGAUGCAGCGACGCCGCGUGAGGGAUGACGGCCUUCGGGUUGUAAACCUCUUUCAGCACGGAAGAAGCGAAAGUGACGGUACGUGCAGAAGAAGCGCCGGCUAACUACGUGCCAGCAGCCGCGGUAAUACGUAGGGCGCAAGCGUUGUCCGGAAUUAUUGGGCGUAAAGAGCUCGUAGGCGGUUUGUCGCGUCUGCUGUGAAAGCCCGGGGCUUAACCCCGGGUGUGCAGUGGGUACGGGCAGACUUGAGUGCAGUAGGGGAGACUGGAAUUCCUGGUGUAGCGGUGAAAUGCGCAGAUAUCAGGAGGAACACCGAUGGCGAAGGCAGGUCUCUGGGCUGUUACUGACGCUGAGGAGCGAAAGCAUGGGGAGCGAACA